UACGUAGGGAGCAAGCGUUGUCCGGAAUUACUGGGCGUAAAGGGCGCGUAGGUGGGCGCUUAAGUCAGGUGUGAAAACUCCGGGCUCAACCUGGAGACUGCACUUGAAACUGGGUGUCUUGAGGGCAGGAGAGGAAAGUGGAAUUCCUAGUGUAGCGGUGAAAUGCGUAGAUAUUAGGAGGAACACCAGUGGCGAAGGCGACUUUCUGGACUGUACCUGACGCUGGGGCGCGAAAGCGUGGGUAGCGAACGGG
Molecule: ribosomal RNA, 253 nt
Filed under: uncultured bacterium
Lineage: Bacteria
Description: partial 16S ribosomal RNA
Rfam family: Bacterial small subunit ribosomal RNA
Source: RNAcentral